Molecule: ribosomal RNA, 492 nt
Filed under: uncultured bacterium
Lineage: Bacteria
Description: partial 16S ribosomal RNA
Rfam family: Bacterial small subunit ribosomal RNA
Source: RNAcentral
GAUGAACGCUCGCUACAGGCUUAACACAUGCAAGUCGAGGGGAAACGACAUCGAAAGCUUGCUUUUGAUGGGCGUCGACCGGCGCACGGGUGAGUAACGCGUAUCCAACCUGCCCAUCACUUGGGGAUAACCUUGCGAAAGUAAGACUAAUACCCAAUGAUAUCUCUAGAAGACAUCUGAAAGAGAUUAAAGAUUUAUCGGUGAUGGAUGGGGAUGCGUCUGAUUAGCUUGUUGGCGGGGUAACGGCCCACCAAGGCAACGAUCAGUAGGGGUUCUGAGAGGAAGGUCCCCCACAUUGGAACUGAGACACGGUCCAAACUCCUACGGGAGGCAGCAGUGAGGAAUAUUGGUCAAUGGGCGAGAGCCUGAACCAGCCAAGUAGCGUGCAGGAAGACGGCCCUAUGGGUUGUAAACUGCUUUUAUAAGGGAAUAAAGUGAGAGUCGUGACUCUUUUUGUAUGUACCUUAUGAAUAAGAACCGGCUAAUUCCGUG